Anguilla rostrata (American eel) is the source of this 3565-nucleotide RNA transcript. RefSeq lists it as uncharacterized. Lineage: Eukaryota; Metazoa; Chordata; Actinopteri; Anguilliformes; Anguillidae. The transcript is spliced from 13 exons. The record is from RefSeq and is a predicted model, not a curated record.
GAGGCCAGAGUGUAUCCCGGGGCAACCGAACAGGACAAAGGGAGAUAGUUGGGAGAGAGAGGAGCAAGCCAAACCUUUACUGACCAACAGAGAACAACUGUCUACAACCUUGUCUUGUAACUGAAAGUGUUUAGAGAGGAGAGAGUGAGGGGGCACAAACCACUGCUGACCAGAGUGAUGAGCUUGGCCUGGGACAUGGGCUGUGGGAUGUCUCGUCCUCUGGGCCUGGCUGGAGGGGGCACGGUUCAGGGUCUGCUGGACUCAGAGAGGAGACGUCGGGCCCUGGAGCUCAGCUUGGCCAAAGCCAACCGGGCCCUGCGGGACCAGAACCUUCGGAUGAUGCAGCCGCAGACUCCACACACCAGCCCAGAAGACUGGACCUCACAGCACCAGAUGUGGGCCCUGAAAAUCAGAGAGUUCAAAGGCACCAAGAGCAAUGGUUUUUCAUCAGGCGUCUGUAAUGCCGUACUGUACGGCGACCUGUGUGAAAGAAUUGGGAGACUGCGGUCAGAGCUGGAUGUCCUCAGUCAAAAAGUAGACCAGGUGUGCCAAACCGCUGGUGGGUGCCGACACUGGGGCGUACAUUGGCCUGCCCCAGACCGUCUGCUUCCUGUCCCGGAAGGGCAACUUCCUGUUCCGGACUGGACACUUCCUGUAGGCCACCCUGGACCUAAGCUUCCCGCUGCUUCCCACAUCGCUCUGGCCAUGGAUCGCAGCCAGCUUCAGAGAGAGAGAGGUGGCCUCGAGCGUCUGGUCCAGGAUGCGUGGGCCCGUCUGGGGGUGCUGGAGAGGGACAGGGAGGUUCUGGAGUCCCAGGUGACGGGGCUCCACUCCGAGCUGUUCCAGACGCGCUCGCGGGAGCAGGAGCUCCAGAGGAACGGCAUUUCGGCCCGGGCGGAGCUCACGGGCAGCCGGCAGCUGAAUGACAGCUUGCUGCAGGAGACGGUGGUGCUAAGGCAGAGGCUGGCGUCCUCCGAGGCGCGGGUGGCGCUGAUGGAGAGCGAGAGGCGUGUCCUGGCUGCCCGGCUUGUUGCCCUGGAGACAGAGCGGGAGCAGCUGCUUUCCCAGAAGGCCCUGUUGGUGCGGAGGCUGUGGCGAGAUCCCAGGGCCAGGCAUGGCCCACCAGGAGUGCCUGGGGGAGACCUGGAAACUGGUGUGGAAGGUAGUGGCAGAGAGGAGAUGGUGGAGGUGGUGGAGGAGGAGAAGGGAUGGGAGGUGACGAAGACCCGGGUAGUGAGUCCACAGCGCCCAGGCAACCAGGAAAUCCCAGAAUCCCUUUCACCUGUCCCAGCACGGCCACUUUCCUCAAAAGCGGAAACUGGAAAUCAGACAGAGGAUGUGUUGCAGCUCUCUGAAGACCCAGAGAAAGGUCUGGAGGACACAGACUUUCAGCCGCUCAAACUCCAAGUGUCCCCGGAGGUACAUGAACGCGAGUCCAUAGAAUAUGCUGACUGGGGAGAAGUGGGCGGAGCACCGAGGAACCAGAAAGACUUUCUUUCAGAAAUGGAACACAUGCGGACGGGUGAAGCCAUCGGGCCUGCUACGCAUGUCUCAGGGACAUCCCGAGAAGACCACGAUGUUCCACAGGGGCGGAGCAGCUGGCUCCACGGGGGUGAGGAGGAGACGGCAGCUUCCAAAAAGUGCAAUCAGUGGGAUCUAUGGAAAGAUGACCCGCUCUCAGCCAAUCAGGUGAGCCUACUGUCACCCCAACGUUCUCCCCACAGGCCUCUGCAAACUUCCAACCAAUCGGCAAGUCCACAGCCAUCAUGUGAUUUGAAAGGUUAGUUCUGCCUCUCCGCCCCCAGCAAUCUGCAGACAGACAUCAUCAAUCUCUUUGCCAAUCACAAAGCUUUCCACCAUGUCCACCAAACUGGACCAGUAUGGUGGAAACCUGCAGGUUCCAGACAGUGGGCUGACAGAUUCGCCGGUGGAACUGGUGUCCUGGAGAACCAUUCAUUUAAAACCUGGUCCAAUGUUCCCUGAAAAUAAUGAGUAAUUUCCUUCUCUGAAAAGAUUUAAAAACAUGUUGUGGCUAUAUCUUGGCCUUUAUUGACGCAUGUCAGUGCAUUGGCACAUUUUUUUUUCACAUAUAUUUUCCAGUUAGAAAACGACAUACACUCAGGAUUUCCACAUGCUUGCAUUGUGUGCUCAUUCUUUUCUGGUGUGCAUGGGAUUAUCCAAUCAGGACUUUUGUCCUAGAUUUUGGAUUUUGGAAAAAAUCAACAUUCCGCAAAGUAGCAUUCCAAGAUUUCAGUUUUUUUUUUCUCGGUUGAAAAGUUGAAAAGUUAUUACAAAUGACGUGUAAAGAAACUGAGGCAUAUUGAACUUAUGCCUGGUACUUUCCUUGCCUUCUCACUAACAAUACCCAGAUAAUGUUCCCCCCACAGACUAUCUGUUUCUCCUUCAUUGACACCCAUUCUUCUAGGAUGUGUGUUUAAAGGCUUUCCAAAGGUGAAUGGCACCAGAAGAACAGCAGAGAAAUUUAUCCGACAGUUACGGAACUCGCUGUGAACAAAUAUCUUCACUGGAAGGGGCGUUCCCUCUCUGAAAUAUCGGGAAGGGAAGGGGGGGCGGACUGUUGGGGAGGGUAUCAUUUCAGUUCAUGUUGAGUUCAGCAAGAAGUACAAAAGAUGAUAACUUGCACUUUGAUAACCCCACCCUGCCACCCCCAGCCCCCUCCAUAGGAUUAAAACUGCUUUGUUUGUGGACAUAGCGGACACAAGAAACGGUUAGCACGCCAGUCAAGUCUGCGCACAGGAGGUUAAAUUUGGACUAGGUUUUGACCCUCUGGGAUACGCAGAAGGUCAAAAGGGCCUGAAACCCUGUUCGAUUUACCUCUGUGCGCAAAUAAAUCCAUAACCCACUUGGGAACACUGAGAGUGCAGUGUGUGGACUCACGCCCCCCUCCCCCCUUUGUUCCGCACCUACAACUUGAGGAACAUAAGAGUGAUUAUUUAUUGUUGUGCGCUGAAGGCAUUCUGUGUUUCCUCCAUGUGUAAUGGCCACCUUUAGGAGUGAGGCAUUCCAGGAUAUGUCAUGCCGUAGUGUUGUUUGCCUUGUAGCCAUAAACUAAAAAUGGCUCCUUGUCUCGCCCGCGGUCAUAAAAAUGCUGCCGUUAUCAACACCCUGCAGUAAAAAAGGAAGGAAUGCGCAGGUAAGGUGACCUGCCGCUCUCACACCCCUUUUGAGCCUUGAGAAACUUUCCUUUUCACUGCAUUAAUCUAAGUGUUUGAUUACGCUUCUGGAACAAUGGCUCGCAAGUAUAAAAACUGGAAGGACUGGCUUUACAAGAGUUAAUAGCUAAAAGGCUGCUGCAGAGAGAGCUGGGGGCUGGCUAUGCUGUUAUACAGCUAGAGCUCUUAAAGAAACAAAUCUGAACUGGAGUCCAGAAGUCCCCUGAGAGUCCCCAGUCCUCACAAUGUAAAAAAGGAAAAUAUCACUGCACUGGUCAUUGAAUUGCAGCAAUUGAGGCGAGCCAGUGAGGCAUCAUGGGAGGUCUCUGACCUCGCCCAUCCCGGUGACCCGCAGGCCAGGGAUUGGCUGGAGAGAGUCGGGCUGCUGAAGG